GAGAAACGAAACAAGUGAUGUGGAGUAAAACUUAGAAAAACGGUACUCAGUUCGGAUUGAAGGCUGAAAUUCGCCUACAUGAAGCUGGAGUUGCUAGUAAUCGCGAAUCAGCAUGUCGCGGUGAAUACGUUCCCGGGCCUUGUACACACCGCCCGUCACACCAUGAGAGUUGGCAAUACCCAACGUACGUGAUCUAACCCGCAAGGGAGGAAGCGUCCUAAGGUAGGGUCAGCGAUUGGGGUGAAGUCGUAACAAGGUACC
RNAcentral lists this ribosomal RNA (261 nucleotides) under uncultured bacterium. RNAcentral describes it as "partial 16S ribosomal RNA". It matches the Rfam family "Bacterial small subunit ribosomal RNA", at positions 1244 to 1500 of the family's 1533-position model. The record is from RNAcentral.